ACGGGUGUAGCUCAGUCGGUAGAGCACUGGUCUCCAAAACCAGGUGUCGCGUGUUCGAACCAUGCCACCCGUG
Molecule: transfer RNA, 73 nt
Filed under: Bacteroidales bacterium
Lineage: Bacteria; Pseudomonadati; Bacteroidota; Bacteroidia; Bacteroidales
Description: tRNA-Trp
Rfam family: tRNA
About the family: Transfer RNA (tRNA) molecules are approximately 80 nucleotides in length. Their secondary structure includes four short double-helical elements and three loops (D, anti-codon, and T loops). Further hydrogen bonds mediate the characteristic L-shaped molecular structure. tRNAs have two regions of fundamental functional importance: the anti-codon, which is responsible for specific mRNA codon recognition, and the 3' end, to which the tRNAs corresponding amino acid is attached (by aminoacyl-tRNA synthetases). tRNAs cope with the degeneracy of the genetic code in two manners: having more than one tRNA (with a specific anti-codon) for a particular amino acid; and 'wobble' base-pairing, i.e. permitting non-standard base-pairing at the 3rd anti-codon position.
Source: RNAcentral